Molecule: long non-coding RNA, 3446 nt
Filed under: Sorghum bicolor (sorghum)
Lineage: Eukaryota; Viridiplantae; Streptophyta; Magnoliopsida; Poales; Poaceae
Description: long non-coding RNA (SBIC_LNC018717)
Source: RNAcentral
CCAUAAAUAAUUAUAUAGUUCUCCUUGGGCGAUCCUGAAUCUUAAUUAGUACACUCACGUUCCAUGUGGAAAAUCGAUACUCUGGAAUACUCUCGGGUGAAGGCUACAUCGGUAUCCGUGCGCUUGCGGAUUUUUCUGUUUGCGUUUAAAAUACCCAAUACGCCUUGCCUCUGGCCCCGUUCGGCCUACGCUUCCUUCCCGUGGCUUCUGGAGUCUUCUAGAUGUAAGAUAAUUGUGCGGCACGUUAAUAUCUCUAUGUAGUCUCGACGUGUGGGCCUUUCUUCCGUAUUUCCUAAUAACCCCCUACAGAAGUAGACAAACACCAAAACUCGUGGAAUUCUGUCAGAUAAAACCCUAAGUCUAGAUGUUGAUUUCAUUUGGAUCCUUUUAUUUGUUUAUUUGAUAAUUAAAUUUGAUACUUAAGGACCGUCAACAAACUCCCCAAGCUUACCUCUUGCACGUCCCUGAGCAAGGAUAGACUCAGCAAUGGAUCAGAAGUUGUUGCAAUAUCUUAAAAAUUUGACGGUACACAUGCUUUUAAAUAAGAUCUCAUCUCUGAGUUAGAGUAAACUGUCAAGAACUAAAACUUACUUACUUUACCUUUCACCAUGGGACUUGUAAUCGUCACUUCUGUCUUGAGUAGUUAAAAGAUAGAACAGUCUAGCCAAGUGCCAUGUCUCUUAUUCUUGAUCAGCUAUAGCUCUGGAGUUUUUGCAGAUUUUCAAAUAAAACUCAGAGAUUCCUUGUAUGACUCUCUAAAUCUCUCUUUUGUGGUAUUUCUAGAUCCUUACCAAGGCAGUGAUGGUAUAUGCCUUCUCUCAAGAUAUGUGGUAUUUGUGGUAUAAGGCAUAGUGGCAUUGCCUUCUCUCUCACCUUACUCUAAUAAGGCUUUAAUAUCUGGAGCUCAUAGGUGGGAGACAGCUAAUACAUACUUACAAGACAUUUAUUGCAUAGUCAAACCAUGGAUCCACAGAAACAAGUCAAUAAGUCAAAUCAAGAUGUGCAUGUGUGGCGAAUGAAUGGUGUAUGGUGAUGAUGGUGAUAACAAUGGUGGAAGUCUAAUUCUACUUUUGCUCUUUUGAGGGGAUACAUACCUUCCUUGCUUUUUGAAACUUUAUGAGGAGAAUGAGAUGCUCUAUCUUUCAUUUUUUUUCUUUCCUCUCAGGUGGGUAUCCUGUUCCCCUAAUUCUACUGUCGGACACUUGUCUAUUUUUACCUCUCGUCUGGCUCUUUUUCUUUUCUUUCGAGGUUCCGGGCACUUGCCCCUUUUUAUUUCCUCGUAUAUUUUUUUUCUCUCCUUUUUUUAGAGCACUCAUCUCAUGAGAUAAUAUAACAAGUGGUAGUAACAAGAUAACUUGAGUAUUUAUUUCACAAGGAAAAACAGAAAUAUUUUUGGUUAUUCUCUCUCGGAUUAGGAGUAGAAUAUUUUUGGGUGGUUCUGGAGAUGGAAAUGAGUGGAUAUAUGUGGAUGGUACUUCCAGAGUAGAAGUAGCAUAUAUGAGUGAAUGUGCAAGUGAAAUCUUGAUUUAACCACAUGACAAGCUCCUAAGGGUCUACACAGCUUGACCACACUCAAUACUCAUAAGCAGUAAAUAGUAAAUAUGUGGCUCAAAGUCUAGCAAGCAUGUAUAUAUGGCUGUGGUAGGAAUUUAAACUUUCAUCAUACAGGAACUCAUCAUGCAAUAUUUUAAAGAUUUUUCAAAGAUAAAAUUCUCCAGAAUUCUAGCAUCUCUAGGAACAGAUAAACAGCAGCUCAACCUUCCCAUAUCAUAUCCGUUAACAACUUAGAUUUCAGAUCAAGUUUUUAUCCCACAAAUUUAGAUCUAGAGCAAGCUUUAAAUUAUAACAGUUAUGUCUAAACUUGAGAGAGAACUUCAAAUUUGCAAAUUAGGCAGAGCAACUAUUCAUCAUAUCCAUGCUAGAGUUUUAUUAUUAAGAUUCAGAUUAGCAUAGCCACUUUAUUUAUUUAUUAAACACACUAAGCAAAAGAUAUAUAUAUAAGCACAAAAUCUUUAUUUGGUUUUUCAUAGUUUAUGUAUUUUAAUAUUCUAAUAUAAUAUAAGUAUAAUGAUAGGUAGAAAUACUUUGCGAGAUAAAUGGGGGUGCUCUCCCCCAAGCUGAAUUUUGACGUAAUUUCUCUUGAUGUAGCUAGCAGGUGGCAGAGGUGUAUUUGAAAGUCAGCAGCAUUCUGACAGCGAUUAGAAUGUCCUCCGUCUACUAGUCUUCUUGAUUCUUAAAUUCUGUGGAGCUCAAAUAGACAACAAAGCUUGUGGAACUAAUUAAGUGUUAGCAUAAAUAUCUAGCCUUCAUCAUGUUGAGCUUCCUCAAUAAAUAUUACUCCCUGUUUUUAUAUUUUUAUUUUGUAAAGCAGAAAAGAAAUAUUUAUUUUAUUUUUAUGCCACCACAGUGAAGGUACUUAUGGGUUUUAUACCACUCGUAUACUCACAUGGGGCUUAGCAUUUUUUAACAUUUUUUUUCUUUUCAAGAUAGCAUGAUUAACUAAUAAUCUAUUUAAGGAAAGUAAAUAAUUAAAGGGAAAAGGGAAUGCAGAAAGGAUAAAUACGGAUAACUACUGAUCUUACCUUUUGGCGAUGGUUCAAUAUUUUAAGUCUUCUUAACAAGACUUCUCACCGUGUUCAUUCUUCAGGUGCGUCAUUUGAUUCAGGUGCGGACCUUGACGUCUGCACCUCUUGAUACGGUGUCACCCAUGUUCUUCGUUUGCCCAGCAGUUCGAAGUGCGGCGUUGGUAGUAACCUGCUUAGUGUUUUUGUGCUCGUAGAUCCAGGUCCUUCACUUGGUAGAGUCAGAGAGUUAUAAAACUCCUCCGUGUUUUGCUCAAAGUGUACCUGCUCAUAGAGACAAGGCAGAGAUCAAGUGCAUGGGUCCUGUUGGUGGAAAACACCAACAGAACCUAAAGUGUAUUUGUUCUUCUCUAACCCUAAGCAUAGUGAGCAAGACAAAGUUGAUGGAUGAAAAGUUCAUGAGUGUAGCACUUAUAACAUUUGUCAGAUCAGAUCGCUCAACCUUAUGGAAAGAUAAUCUAUCUAUGUAUAUGUCUUUUUCUUUAUAUCUCUCAAUGAUUGAAUGUGUAAUAUUUUAGCUCAUAUGAUUAGGAGUGUGGGAUCAUGGAGGUAGUACUAAGAACAAGGAUUAAAGGACUAAAUAUGUUGAAUCAGUUGGGUUGGUUAAUCUAGAGUUGUAAAUCAUACAUGUUUGUCUCUUUUAUUUAUAUGAACGCCAGAACUAAGGAGAAGCUUAUAAAAGUGAUAGUCAAGUACCUUAAGAUGUUACCUUGUGUCACACCCAUAUUUUAAGAACAAAAUAGGAUGCAUAAAAGACUCAUAUGUGCCCCAGAAACAGUCGCACACAUAAGUAGACAAAUCUCAAAUGUACCAUUGCGGUGUUUAUUACAUAGCGGAAUAUAAUAUAUCACAUAGUCUCAUACA